This 995-nucleotide ribosomal RNA is filed under the name uncultured bacterium. Its description in RNAcentral is "bacterial SSU rRNA". It matches the Rfam family "Bacterial small subunit ribosomal RNA", at positions 355 to 1375 of the family's 1533-position model. The record is from RNAcentral.
UGGGGAAUAUUGCACAAUGGGGGAAACCCUGAUGCAGCGACGCCGCGUGGAGGAAGAAGGUCUUCGGAUUGUAAACUCCUGUUGUUGGGGAAGAUAAUGACGGUACCCAACAAGGAAGUGACGGCUAACUACGUGCCAGUAGCCGCGGUAAAACGUAGGUCACAAGCGUUGUCCGGAAUUACUGGGUGUAAAGGGAGCGCAGGCGGGAAGACAAGUUGGAAGUGAAAUCUAUGGGCUCAACCCAUAAACUGCUUUCAAAACUGUUUUUCUUGAGUAGUGCAAAGGUAGGCGGAAUUCCCGGUGUAGCGGUGGAAUGCGUAGAUAUCGGGAGGAACACCAGUGGCGAAGGCGGCCUACUGGGCACCAACUGACGCUGAGGCUCGAAAGUGUGGGUAGCAAACAGGAUUAGAUACCCUGGUAGUCCACACCGUAAACGAUGAUUACUAGGUGUUGGAGGAUUGACCCCUUCAGUGCCGCAGUUAACACAAUAAGUAAUCCACCUGGGGAGUACGACCGCAAGGUUGAAACUCAAAGGAAUUGACGGGGGCCCGCACAAGCAGUGGAGUAUGUGGUUUAAUUCGACGCAACGCGAAGAACCUUACCAAGUCUUGACAUCCCUUGACAGGCAUAGAAAUGUGUUUUCUCUUCGGAGCAAGGAGACAGGUGGUGCAUGGUUGUCGUCAGCUCGUGUCGUGAGAUGUUGGGUUAAGUCCCGCAACGAGCGCAACCCUUAUGGUCAGUUACUACGCAAGAGGACUCUGGCCAGACUGCCGUUGACAAAACGGAGGAAGGUGGGGAUGACGUCAAAUCAUCAUGCCCUUUAUGACUUGGGCUACACACGUACUACAAUGGCGUUAAACAAAGAGAAGCAAGACCGCGAGGUGGAGCAAAACUCAGAAACAACGUCCCAGUUCGGACUGCAGGCUGCAACUCGCCUGCACGAAGUCGGAAUUGCUAGUAAUCGCAGAUCAGCAUGCUGCGGUGAAUACGUUCCC